AAAACGCGAAAUGUGUUAUGAAGUGCAGUCUUUGUGAAUCAUGAAUCUUUGAACGCACCUUGCACCACUUUUGGGUGGUAUGUCUGUUUGAGGGAGGUAAGAGAGUGGAAGUCAUUCUGGGGUGGGGUCGUUGUGUAGAUAUAUUUGCACUGCCCUUAAAACGAUGCAACACUGGUGAUGGGAUAGCAUCUGCAUCAUCAACAACGUGUAAAAAUUCUCCUCAAAUCAGACAAGAUGACCCGCUGAACUUAA
RNAcentral lists this unclassified non-coding RNA (252 nucleotides) under uncultured fungus. Its description in RNAcentral is "sequence contains ITS1". The stretch from base 1 to 97 matches the Rfam family "5.8S ribosomal RNA", at positions 50 to 154 of the family's 154-position model. Lineage: Eukaryota; Fungi. The record is from RNAcentral.